This 478-nucleotide ribosomal RNA is filed under the name uncultured bacterium. Its description in RNAcentral is "partial 16S ribosomal RNA". It matches the Rfam family "Bacterial small subunit ribosomal RNA", at positions 28 to 523 of the family's 1533-position model. The record is from RNAcentral.
GACGAACGCUGGCGGCGUGCUUAACACAUGCAAGUCGAGCGAUGAAGCUUCUUCGGAAGUGGAUUAGCGGCGGACGGGUGAGUAACACGUGGGUAACCUGCCUCAUAGAGGGGAAUAGCCUUCCGAAAGGAAGAUUAAUACCGCAUAAGAUUGUAAUAUCGCAUGAUAUAGCAAUUAAAGGAGUAAUCCGCUAUGAGAUGGACCCGCGUCGCAUUAGCUAGUUGGUGAGGUAACGGCUCACCAAGGCGACGAUGCGUAGCCGACCUGAGAGGGUGAUCGGCCACAUUGGGACUGAGACACGGCCCAGACUCCUACGGGAGGCAGCAGUGGGGAAUAUUGCACAAUGGGGGAAACCCUGAUGCAGCAACGCCGCGUGAGUGAUGACGGUCUUCGGAUUGAAAAGCUCUGUCUUCAGGGACGAUAAUGACGGUACCUGAGGAGGAAGCCACGGCUAACUACGUGCCAGCAGCCGCCGUAA